GGUUGAUCCUGCCAGUAAUAUAUGCUUGUUUCAAAGAUUAAGCCAUGCAUGUCUAAGAAUAAGCGAACUUAUUCAGUGAAUCUGCGGAUGGCUCAUUAAAACAGUUUGAAUCUAUUCGAUGGAUGUGCGAGAGUACUACAUGGAUACCCGUAGUAAUUCUAGAGCUAAUACAUGCAAGAACGCCCGACUUUACGGAAGGGUUGUAUUUAUUGGAUACUAAAACCAAACCGCGCAAGCGGUUUUGUUUGUUGAUUCACAAUAACUGAUCGGACCGCUUCUUAG
This 282-nucleotide ribosomal RNA is filed under the name uncultured eukaryote. Its description in RNAcentral is "partial 18S ribosomal RNA". It matches the Rfam family "Eukaryotic small subunit ribosomal RNA", at positions 6 to 279 of the family's 1831-position model. The record is from RNAcentral.